Molecule: long non-coding RNA, 419 nt
Organism: Hevea brasiliensis (rubber tree)
Lineage: Eukaryota; Viridiplantae; Streptophyta; Magnoliopsida; Malpighiales; Euphorbiaceae
Exons: 2
Source: RefSeq, a predicted model, not a curated record
GUACACACAGUCCCUUGCUUUCUUCUCUUUCUCUCUCGCUUUGUACCUCGCUGGCCAGCCCCUCUUUUUCUCAGACAAGGGAAAGGCGGCAGCAGCCUCAGCCUAAAACCCCUGAUGAGAAGCUAUCCCUGUACCUUGAAAAAUUCGAGACCAAAACCCUCACAAGGAAGCAACUCGAACGUCUAAGGGCUCAAAAGGAGGUGAAGGUGGCAGUGAUAUGAAGUUCUCUGCUUGAUCAAAAAGGGUCUCUAAACUCUAGAGCUAGGUGUCUUGCACAGUCUUCUCGAUUGGUUAUGUACAUGCAUGUCGUUUACUGGCAUGCAAAAUAAAAAGAUAGGAGCUAGCUAGCUAGCUACUGUUAUGCUUUGCAAUGGUUAUCUAUGUUUAUAAACUCCAUUACUGGGUAUUCGGUUUCGCUC